RNAcentral lists this ribosomal RNA (1193 nucleotides) under Mycolicibacterium sp. RNAcentral describes it as "bacterial SSU rRNA". It matches the Rfam family "Bacterial small subunit ribosomal RNA", at positions 15 to 1223 of the family's 1533-position model. Lineage: Bacteria; Bacillati; Actinomycetota; Actinomycetes; Mycobacteriales; Mycobacteriaceae. The record is from RNAcentral.
GAUCCUGGCUCAGGACGAACGCUGGCGGCGUGCUUAACACAUGCAAGUCGAACGGAAAGGCCCUUCGGGGUGCUCGAGUGGCGAACGGGUGAGUAACACGUGGGUGAUCUGCCCUGCACUUUGGGAUAAGCCCGGGAAACUGGGUCUAAUACCGAAUAGGACUCCGGACUGCAUGGUCUGGGGUGGAAAGCUUUUGCGGUGUGGGAUGGGCCCGCGGCCUAUCAGCUUGUUGGUGGGGUGAUGGCCUACCAAGGCGACGACGGGUAGCCGGCCUGAGAGGGUGACCGGCCACACUGGGACUGAGAUACGGCCCAGACUCCUACGGGAGGCAGCAGUGGGGAAUAUUGCACAAUGGGCGCAAGCCUGAUGCAGCGACGCCGCGUGAGGGAUGACGGCCUUCGGGUUGUAAACCUCUUUCAGCACAGACGAAGCGCGAGUGACGGUAUGUGCAGAAGAAGGACCGGCCAACUACGUGCCAGCAGCCGCGGUAAUACGUAGGGUCCGAGCGUUGUCCGGAAUUACUGGGCGUAAAGAGCUCGUAGGUGGUUUGUCGCGUUGUUGCGUGAAAACUCACAGCUUAACUGUGGGCGUGCGGGGCGAUACGGGCAGACUGGAGUACUGCAGGGGAGACUGGAAUUCCUGGUGUAGCGGUGGAAUGCGCAGAUAUCAGGAGGAACACCGGUGGCGAAGGCGGGUCUCUGGGCAGUAACUGACGCUGAGGAGCGAAAGCGUGGGGAGCGAACAGGAUUAGAUACCCUGGUAGUCCACGCCGUAAACGGUGGGUACUAGGUGUGGGUUUCCUUCCUUGGGAUCCGUGCCGUAGCUAACGCAUUAAGUACCCCGCCUGGGGAGUACGGCCGCAAGGCUAAAACUCAAAGGAAUUGACGGGGGCCCGCACAAGCGGCGGAGCAUGUGGAUUAAUUCGAUGCAACGCGAAGAACCUUACCUGGGUUUGACAUGCACAGGACGCCGGCAGAGAUGUCGGUUCCCUUGUGGCCUGUGUGCAGGUGGUGCAUGGCUGUCGUCAGCUCGUGUCGUGAGAUGUUGGGUUAAGUCCCGCAACGAGCGCAACCCUUGUCUCAUGUUGCCAGCACGUGAUGGUGGGGACUCGUGAGAGACUGCCGGGGUCAACUCGGAGGAAGGUGGGGAUGACGUCAAGUCAUCAUGCCCCUUAUGUCCAGGGCUUCACACAU